GAUGAACGCUGGCGGCGUGCCUAAUACAUGCAAGUCGAGCGAACGGACGAGAAGCUUGCUUCUCUGAUGUUAGCGGCGGACGGGUGAGUAACACGCGGAUAACCUACCUAUAAGACUGGGAUAACUUCGGGAAACCGUAGCUAAUACCGGAUAAUAUUUUGAACCGCAUGGUUCAAAAGUGAAAGACGGUCUUGCUGUCACUUAUAGAUGGAUCCGCGCUGCAUUAGCUAGUUGGUAAGGUAACGGCUUACCAAGGCAACGAUGCAUAGCCGACCUGAGAGGGUGAUCGGCCACACUGGAACUGAGACACGGUCCAGACUCCUACGGGAGGCAGCAGUAGGGAAUCUUCCGCAAUGGGCGAAAGCCUGACGGAGCAACGCCGCGUGAGUGAUGAAGGUCUUCGGAUCGUAAAACUCUGUUAUUAGGGAAGAACAUAUGUGUAAGUAACUGUGCACAUCUUGACGGUACCUAAUCAGAAAGCCACGGCUAACUACGU
This 496-nucleotide ribosomal RNA is filed under the name uncultured bacterium. RNAcentral's name for it is "partial 16S ribosomal RNA". It matches the Rfam family "Bacterial small subunit ribosomal RNA", at positions 28 to 506 of the family's 1533-position model. The record is from RNAcentral.